AUCCAGCUGACGAGUCCCAAAUAGGACGAAACGCGCGUCGAACUGGAU
Molecule: non-coding RNA, 48 nt
Organism: Schistosoma rodhaini
Lineage: Eukaryota; Metazoa; Platyhelminthes; Trematoda; Strigeidida; Schistosomatidae
Source: Rfam